AUAAUGGCAACGUCCACAACUUCGUCAGAAAAACUCUACAAAAAUCGUCUGCUUAAAUUUUUUCUUUGUCAUCACACAUCACUUUACAAUGACUACAUCUAAAUGCCUUUAACAGAAAAAUCGGUAGUUUUAAAAAGGAAAAAUUUUAUAGACGGGGCAAGUUUGCAUAUCUUUGGCACUGUUUGCGUCUAUUAACGGAAGUCUAGAGCCAUUUCAAUAAUAAUACAGAAAUUCAGAACAGUAAAACAAAAAAUUCCAGUGUAGAAACUUCUAUUUGAAAUGUAAGUGGAGAUUUUACGGAGUGAAGAGAUGCCAAAGUUGUAUAAAAAAACUUAUAAGAUAGGAUUUGAUGCCAGUGUCCAAGUUACUGCUUUCACAUUCAGUGUGAUUCUCCUGCAUUCUAAAGCCUGCAAAGCUGACUCAGGUUGGCUUCUAUGAAACCAAUGACAAGAACAAGCAAAAGCAUGGAGGACAUGAGUUUUCUUAAAAGGAUGUGAGGGCAAGAACAAAAUGCCAUACCCAUAAGCAUUGCAUUUGCUUCAUUUAACUAGAUAUUCCCCAUAUGAUUGUAUCCCUAGCGGUUGAUGCCAGCUAAUUUCCUAAGAGACAUCGUGACGUCGCUUCUUGAUACUGGCAUUUUCUGUAACGCAUGUUUUUCUUAAUGGUAAAAUACAUGCUACAGCUUAAGAGAUAUCUUCGACCUUCGCUGGCUCGUGUUGGUGACCUUGCUCUACCCCUUUAAAACUGUGGCCGUUCACAGUUUCUCAGUCAGUCUGCAGUUAGAGAUUGGACGAGGUAGUCUUACCAACGAACACCAGAACUUAAAGUCUACCAUUUUCAAUUAUGAUAUCUUAUUGUAAUAACAGCAGUAAAUAGGUUGGAUGGACUCGUAUAUGCUCUUCCAACCUAUCAACUACUGGUGAUAUACAACAAGAUACAUGGAAUUGUUUUCCCUUCGAGAUGAAGUAUAAUCGAUUGGAAAUUCAUUGAAAUUUGUAAUCGUGAAUUUUUUUAAUGGGGCGUUUUUGUUCCACAUUUGCUCAUAAAGAUGGGCUACAAACGUUUCCAAACAGGGUGCUUUUUCUAACUUUGAAAAUCAAGUUAUUUGAACCCAACGGCAAUGGCUGGUCUCAUCAAGAUAAGACAAAAUGUCUUGCGGCUAAGACGAAAUUUUUUCGUAAUUUAUCAAUUCUACCAGAAAUGACAUGUUGUAGUGUUAAUGCAGCGCAAGCUGGUCUCAUCAAGAUAGGACAAAAUGUCUUGCGGCAAAAAAUUUCAUGAACACAUUGUUGUAAACGAGUGAUAGAGGGCACUGAUUGCGCAAGCCCCACGUUGGGCGCCAACGGAGAGCAGAGCCGUGUGUAAGAUCGCGCGGGACGGUUGUGUUUAGGUACUAGAGCGUGAUCUCGUAUCCUGUCGUGUUGUAUCUUGUAAUACAAGUGUGAAACCGUU
Molecule: long non-coding RNA, 1452 nt
Filed under: Daphnia magna
Lineage: Eukaryota; Metazoa; Arthropoda; Branchiopoda; Diplostraca; Daphniidae
Description: uncharacterized LOC116935311, transcript variant X2
Source: RNAcentral